CGUUCCCGGGCCUUGUACACACCGCCCGUCACACCACGGGAGUUGGCAACACCCGAAGUCGGUGAGGUAACCUUUUAGGAGCCAGCCGCCUAAGGUGGGGUCGAUGACUGGGGUG
RNAcentral lists this ribosomal RNA (115 nucleotides) under uncultured bacterium. RNAcentral's name for it is "partial 16S ribosomal RNA". It matches the Rfam family "Bacterial small subunit ribosomal RNA", at positions 1369 to 1482 of the family's 1533-position model. The record is from RNAcentral.